UUUGAAGCACAAGUGUGGAAAAAGGAUAGUAGCAUUGUCCCUUCUCCCUUUUUCUCUCAUUUUUUUCUUUUUGGUUUGGCUUCUUUGGCCUCUUUUUUUCCUCACACGGGACAAUGCUCUAAUAAUGAAGAUCAUCACACUUUCAUUUACUUACAACUCAAGAAUUACAACUCGAUACUAGAACAAAAUAUGACUCUAUAUGAAUGCCUCCGGCGGUGUACCGGGAUAUGCAAUGAAUCAAGAGUGACAUGUAUGACAAAUUAUGAAUGGUGGCUUUGCCACAAAUACGAUGUCAACUACAUGAUCAUGCAAGGCAAUAUGACAAUGAUGAAGCGUGUCAUAAUAAACGGAACGGUGGAAAGUUGCAUGGCAAUAUAUCUCGGAAUGGCUAUGGAAAUGCCAUAAUAGGUAGGUAUGGUGGCUUUUUUGAGGAAGGUAAAUGGUGGGUUUAUGGUACCGACGAAAGUUGCGCGGUACUUAAGAGGCUAGCAAUGGUGGAAGGGUGAGAGUGCGUAUAAUCCAUGGACUCAACAUUAGUCAUAAAGAACUCACAUACUUAUUGCAAAAAUCUACAAGUCAUCAAAUCCAAGCACUACGUGCAUGAUCCUAGGGGGAUAGAUUGGUAGGAAAAGACCAUCACUCGUCCCCGACCGCCACUCAUAAGGAAGACAAUCAAAGAAACACCUCAUGCUUCAAAUUUGUUACACAAUGGUUACCAUACGUGCAUGCUACGGCACAUGCAAACCUCAACACAAGUAUUUCUCAAAUUCACAAUUAGUCAACUAGCAUGACUCUAAUAUCACCAUCUUCAUAUCUCAAAACAAUCAUCAAGCAUCAAACUUCUCAUAGUAUUCAAUGCACUUUAUAUGAAAGUUUUUAUUAUACCCAUCUUGGAUGCCCAUCAUAUUAGGACUAAAUUCAUAACCAAAACAAAUGACCAUGCUGUUCUAAAGGACUCUCAAAAUAAUAUAAGUGAAGCAUGAGAGAUCAAUAAUUUCUUCAAAAUAAAACUACCGCCGUGCUCUAAAAAGAUAUAAGUGAAGCACUAGAGCAAAUGACAAACUACUCCAAAAGAUAUAAGUGAAGAUCAAUGAGUAGUCGAAUAAUUAUGUAACUAUGUGAAGACUCUCUAACAUUUAAGAAUUUCAGAUCUUGGCAUAUUAUUCAAACAGCAAGCAAAACAAAAUAAAAUAAAAUGAUGCUCCAAGCAAAACACAUACCAUGUGGUGAAUAAAAAUAUAGCUCCAAGUAAAGUUACCGAUGAACGAAGGCGAAAGAGGGGAUGCCAUACGGGGCAUCCCCAAGCUUAGGCUCUUGGUUGUCCUUGAAUAUUACCUUGGGGUGCCUUGGGCAUCCCCAAGCUUAGGCUCUUGCCACUCCUUAUUCCAUAGUCCAUCGAAUCUUUACCCAAAACUUGAAAACUUCACAACACACAACUUAACAGAAAACUCGUAAGCUCCGUUAGUAUAAGAAAAUAAAUCACCACUUAGGUACUAUUGUGAACUCAUUCUAAAUUAAUAUUGGUGUAAUAUCUACUGUAUUCCAACUUCUCUAUGGUUCAUACCCUCCGAUACUACUCAUAGAUUCAUCAAAUAAGCAAACAACACAUAGAAAACAGAAUCUGUCAAAAACAGGACAGUCUGUAGCAAUCUGUAUCAUUCGAAUACUUCUGUAACUUCAAAAAUUCUGAAAUAAAUUAGUGGACGUGAGGAAUUUGUCUAUUAAUCAUCUUCAAAAAUAAUCAACCUAAAAGCACUCUCCAGUAAAAAAUGACAGCUAAUCUCGUGAGCGCAAAAGUUUCUGUUUUUUACAGCAAGAUCGCAAAGACUUCACCCAAGUCUUACCAAAGGUUCUACUUGGCACAAACACUAAUUAAAACAUAAAACCAUAUCUAACCAGAGGCUAGAUAGAUUAUUUGUUACUAAACAGGAGCAAAAGGCAAAGAACAAAAAUUAAAUUGGGCUGCCUCCCAACAAGCGCUAACGUUUAACGCCCCUAGCUAGGCAUGAUGAUUUCAAUGAUGCUCACAUAAAAGAUAAGAAUUGAAACAUAAAGAGAGCAUCAUGAAGAAUAUGACUAGCACAUUUAAGUCUAACCCACUUCCUAUGCAUAGGGAUUUAGUGAGCAAACAAUUUAUGGGAACAAGGAUCAACUAGCAUAGGAAAGCAAAACAAGCAUAACUUCAAGAUUUUAAGCACAUAGAGAGGAAACUUGAUAUUAUUGCAAUUCCUACAAGCAUAUAUUCCUCCCUCAUAAUAAUUUUCAAUAGCAUCAUGAAUGAAUUCAACAAUAUAACCAUCACAUAAAGCAUUCUUUUCAUGAUCUACAAACAUAGAAUUUUUAUUACUGUCCACAUAAGCAAAUUUCUUCUCAUUCAGAAUAGUGGGAAUAUCAUAAAAAAACUUGAAUACUAUAAAUUGUUUCCACAUUAAGAGAGUAAUGUUCAGAAAAAGGGUAAUAAUAAUCAUGACAAGUUUUAUAGAUAUAAUCAUCACUACUUUUUAUAGCAUAAGUAUCAUCACAAUAAUCAUCAUAAGUAGGAGGCAUGCUAUCAUCAUAAUAAAUUCUCAUAUCAAAACUUGGGAGACUAAAAAUAUCAUCUUCAUUAAACAUAGCAUCCCCAAGCUUGGGACAAACAGUAAUUGCAGCAAAUAAAUUCUCAAACAUGUCAUUCUCAUCAAACAUAGCAUCCCCAAGCUUGGGCCUUUGCAUAUCAUAAGCACAAUCACUCUCAUCAUUAAUAGUAUGGAUAGCACCAAUAGUAUAGCAAUUAUCAUCAUCACAAUGAGUAAUAGGAGCAACAUCAUUUCGGAGGGAUACCUUUUUACCUUUGCUUCUCCGUCUUUUCUUUUUCUGCUUCGCAUCAUGUGUGGGUUUAAUCCUCUUUUCGGAGCUCCUUAUUAAUGAGAAUGGUUGAAUAGAAAGCUCCUCCUUGUUACCUGAUUCAUCAUAAGAAAGAAUAGGAGGAUAUUGGGAAAUCUCUUCCCUUUCAUUAGUAUUCUCUUCAUCUUCUAUUUGUUUUCUUGUCUUUAUGUAAUUGGCAAUAUAAGGAUUUUCAAUGCAAUUCACCGCACAAUACAUAUAAAUUUCCUCUAGAUCAAAAUCAAGAACUGUCUCAAGGGCAAAUUCUGGAAUAUCCUUAGUUAUACGUUUCAUUUCUUCAUGACCCAGAAGUAAACUAAGUUCAUUAUGAUGCGCAAGGGAAAUCAAGUCAUCACAAUUUUUGGACACGAUUCGAUCAUGAAACAAUUUGCAUUGGAUAUUUAAAUGACCACGUUCAUUGCAAAGUUCAGAAGGAUGGCUAAGAAAAUUUAAAUUUCCAGCACAAACAUCCAGCCUUUUUUGCAACCAUUUAGUUUCUAAAUACUUAUGCCUCUUGAAAAAUCUAUAUUCCCUAUUUGGUGUGUACUUGCAAACUCUAUGCACUCCACAAAAAUUGACAUGCUUAUAAGAGACAUUUUCAUCAUGACUAGUGCAAUCAUCAUUAGUACUAUGGAUAUUCAAAGAGUUCAUACUAACAACAUUGCAAUCAUGCUCAUCAUUCAAAGAUUUAGUGCCAAACAUUUUAAUGCAUUCUUCUUCUAGCACUUGGGCACAAUUUUCCUUUCCAUCAUUUUCACGAAAGACGUUAAAAAGAUGAAGCAUAUGAGGCACCCUCAAUUCCAUUUUUUUUGUAGUUUUCUUUUAUAAUCUAAACUAGUGAUAAAACCAGAAACUAAAAUAUUCGAUUGCAAGAUCUAAAGAUAUACCUUCAAGCACUCACCUCCCCGGCAACGACGCCAGAAAAGAGCUUAGUUGACGGGGUGUUAGUGCCGCUUACCUAGCCUCCCCGGCAACGACGCCAGAAAAGAGCUUGAUGUCUACUACACAACCUUCUUCUUGUAGACGUUGUUGGGCCUCCAAGUGUAGAGGUUUGUAGGACAGUAGCAAAUUUCCCUCAAGUGGAUGACCUAAGGUUUAUCAAUCCAUGGGAGGCGUAGGAUGAAGAUGGUCUCUGUCAAACAACCCUGCAACCAAAUAACAAAGAGUCUCUUGUGUCCCCAACACACCCAAUACAAUGGUAAGUAAAUUGUAUAGGUGCACUAGUUCAGCGAAGAGAUGGUGAUACAAGUGCAAUAUGGAUGGUAGAUAUAGGUUUUUGUAAUCUGAAAUUAUAAAACAGGCAAGGUAACAAGUAAUAAAAGUGAGCGUAAACGGUAUUGCAAUGCUAGGAAACAAGGCCUAGGGUUCAUACUUUCACUAGUGCAAGUUCUCUCAACAAUAAUAGCAUAAUUAGAUCAUACAACAAUCCCUCAACAUGCAACAAAGAGACACUCCAAAGUCACUAAUAGCGGAGAACAAACGAAGAGAUUAUUGUAGGGUACGAAACCACCUCAAAGUUAUCCUUUCUGAUCGAUCUAUUCAAGAGUCCGUAGUAAAAUAACACGAAGCUAUUCUUUCUGUUUGAUCUAUCCUAGAGUUCGUACUAGAAUAACACCUUAAGACACAUAUCAACCAAACCCCUGAUGUCACCUAGAUACUCCAAUGUCACCUCAAGUAUCCGUGGGUAUGAUUAUACGAUAUGCAUCACACAAUCUCAGAUUCAUCUAUUCAACCAACACAAAGAACUUCAAAGAGUGCCCUAAAGUUUCUACCGGAGAGUCAAGACGAAAACGUGUGCCAACCCCUAUGCAUAAGUUCACAAGCUCACUGAACCCGCAAGUUCAUCACCAAAACAUACAUCAAGUAGAUCACGUGAAUAUCCCAUUGUCACCACAGAUAAGCACAUGCAAGACAUACAUCAAGUGUUCUCAAACCCUUAAAGACUCAAUCCGAUAAGAUAACUUCGAAGGGAAAACUCAAUCCAUUACAAGAGAGUAGAGGGGGAGAAACAUCAUAAGAUCCAACUAUAAUAGCAAAGCUCGCGGUACAUCAAGAUCGUGCCAAAGCAAGAACACGAGAGAGAGAGAGAGAGAGAGAGAGAGAGAGAGAGAGAGAGAGAGAUCAAACACAUAGCUACUGGUACAUACCCUCAGCCCCGAGGGUGAACUACUCCCUCCACGUCAUGGAGAGCGCCGGGAUGAUGAAGAUGGCCACCGGUGAUGGAUCCCCCCUCCGGCAGGGUGCCGAAACAGGGUCCCGAUUGGUUUUUGGUGGCUACAGAGGCUUGCGGCGGCGGAGCUCCCGAUCUAGGUUAUUUUCUGGAGGUUUGGGGAUUUAUAGGAGAGGUUGGCGUCGAGAACAAGUCGGGGGGCCCCAUGGAGAGUCCACGAGGCACAGGGGUGCGCCCCAGGGGGUGGGCGCGCCCUCCACCCUCGUGGGGCCCACGGGACUCCCCUCCGGUAACUCUUCGUUCCAGUAUUUUUUAUAUUUUCUAGAAAAAAACUCCGUUGAUUUUCAGCGCAUUCCGAGAACUUUUAUUUCUGCACGAAAACAACACCACGGUAGUUCUGCUGAAAACAGCGUCAGUCGGGUUAGUUCUAACCAAAUCAUACCAAAAUCAUGUAAAAAUAUUAUAAACAUGGCAUGAAUACAUCAAAAAUUAUAGAUACGUUGGAGACGUGUCACUCCGCGUAUGUAGAGGAAGAAGGGAAUGAACUGGAGAUAGGUAAGUGAUGUGUGUGAUAGCAAGCAUAGUCUCUCGACAUGUAUUUAUAGGCAGCAGAGAGCCAGAGAGAUCACAUACUGAUUAAAUGCCGUGGUGAGGGGAUACUUUUUAUUUAAUGAGUGUAUCCGCAAAAGUUGUGCACCUUUUUCAAAGCUUUUUCAAAGAAAUUACAUUCCUUAAUUAUCAGAACCUCCAACCUUCUAUUUUAGACGAGGAACCCCUAGGUAAGAGCAUUUGUAGUGGACGCUUAAUACUCUGAUUUAUUCAUUUAUUGUCUGGCAGUAUAAAGAACACCCGAAGUAACAAAAAUUAACAAGCGCUAUCGCCUAUUUCCUACUUCAGUGGGAGGAAGUUUCCUUCCCUAACCACUAUUCCCGCCAACGGUGACAUCUCUAGCCAUGCGGGUAGCUCCGGCGAGCCUCAUGGAGCCCACUGACUGUGGCCCCGCUCAUACCUGGUCCCGCUACCGCUUUCAUAUUGCGAUUCUGUAUUUAUGGUCUGAUUAAUAAACACAUAAUAUUUUGGUAGAUCACCCCCUUAUUAAGUUUGCUAUUUUAUUACAUUACAUUUUCCCAGAUUUGGUAGGUAGCCUUUUCGGUGAGUAGACAUUUUAAUAUGGUUAUCAUUGUCCUUUGGUUAAUUUUGCUUGCAUGUGUGCAUAAUUGACUACCACCCCCACACCGUAUGACAUGUUUUGCCCCGAAACAGAAAAAUAAUUCAUCGACCAGACACUAAAGUUAUCAAAACAAUAUAUACACGAAUCACAAAUUGUUGUACAACAUAGGAUAGGCCCCACUGAUGGUUAUAGUCGUGUACCUUCAAGACAUAACGAUGUGAUAUGUAGGUAUCAUUUUGCUAUAUAUCUUCAAGAUGAAGUCAUAUGAGUAAGGGCAUGCACAAUGGUUGAUAAGAAGCUAUUUUCUUAUGCCUUACACAUCAUUUAGAGAAAGCAAAAGACAUGUUGUACAAUGUAUUAUCUUUAUCUCUAGAAAUUAAUGUCUGCAUGCUCCUAAAUAAUUAUAGUGAUUAAAGAUAGUGUAUGACUUAUACUUCUAGAGAGUAUUAUGGAUUUGAUACUAGUGUAUGAUAGUACCUUCAUAGUGCAUAUUACCACUGAUUUGUCCUUUAGAUGACCUCAUUGAUUGUUUUGUAUGUCUCAUAGCAGCACCUCAUUUAUUAUGAUACACUAUCAUGAUAUAAUAUUUAGUAUCAUUAUUUCCUCAUUUAAUGAUAUGCUAUGUCAGCAAUAUAGAUCAACGAUAGUUUGAUUUUGGCGCGUCUAGUUUCCAUUAUAUGGUUAUAUGAAACAAGACAUACCAAAUUUUAGGCCGAUCCAUGUCUAUGAAACACUAGAUCAGUGAAGUAACUUUGGGCAAUCAUAAACUCAUAGAUUUAAUUAGGACCAUCAUGAAAAAUCAAGUAACUUCAGGCCAUAAUCUAAAGCAAAUCAGCCAUGGAAAACAAAAUCCGUGAAUAAAUAUAAGGAAGUACUCUACAGAUUUGAUACUAUUUUUCCGCUUUUGCUAUUUGUCAGUUGCAUGAAUUUUAUUUUGUGUAAGUCACCUUUUCUUCUUCUUAUGUUCUCUGAAAAUUUAUUCACGGACAAUUCUUGAAACCCUAAAUAUAUUAUGUUAGUGCCUUUUUUUUGUAGUAGUAGUCAAGAUUUCCAACACAAAUUUAAUACUCGAAAGAUCAGUUGGCAUCAAUCUUGAGCGUUUAGCAAUAUCCAUCGUAUCCUUGGAGUACAAAAUUAAGCAGAUAAACAGCAGAUCAGCUGCCAAAUUAUUCAAAGAAAGCAUUUUUUUCACAUUAUGUUUGCAAAUUUUCAAAGCAUGAAAGCAAGUAUUAUUCCAGGCACGGGCUCGAUUACUACAUAUAGCUAGCGCACUCGUGCUGCACAACUAAUUAACGUGCGUUCUCCAUUGAUCCCACGGACGGAUCAAUCACCGGAAGUUUACGAUGGAUCGGUAGGUCUUGCCGGCCUGCCAGCCAGUGGGGAUGACAUUGCGGGCGACGAGCUUCUUGCCGGAGCCGGAGGUGAGGCGGAACGAUAUGGGUGCCUGCAGGGUGGACCCCGCGUUGUACUUCCACACGGCGCCCCACGACUCCUGCAUCGGCGCCCAGCUGCCGCCGCGCUGCUGAAGCUCGACCGCAGACAGGUCACCGUCGCCGGCCUCGUCCUCGAUGAGCACCGCAAGGUAGUUGGGGUUGGAGCCGGCGUCCACCUUGAAGGCGAUGUCCAGCCCAUGCCAGUUGCACGGGACCCUGCGAGCGAAGAAAUCAAAGAGAUGAGGAUCACACUAACAAUGCCAGUGCACGUAGGCAUAAGUGUGUGCGCUAGCUAGCUAUUUAAGCGAGAGCUUACCGGUUGUACUGGAUUCUAAGCUUGCCGACGUUGCGGAGGUUGUCGUCCUGUCCAGGCUUGGCCAUGGCGCCGAACGCUUUCCCGCUGAGGUCGAAGUGCGCAGCCUCGGCCUGGCACGGCCCGCCAGGGCACUGGUCUGUGACGACCACGGUCACCGGGGACCCGGAGCAAGCGGGAUUGCCGAUGCAUCGAACCUGAUAGCAAGCGCCGCAGCCCUUGCCGCCAUUGAAGAUGGAGGAGCCACCCGCCGUGAUCAUGGCGGAGAACGGCGGCUGCUCCACGUCGCCAUGGUACCCGCACGCACCACCUGCGGCACGCCCAUGCACGCGUCAGUACUCGAUCACUACGAAUACACGUAAACAACUACUACUAUGUACUAUUGUAUGUGCGCGUCCUAGCAUGCAUGCACUCUCAUCAUGGAGGUCGAUCUGCAUGUGACUAUAUACAAAUAUACCUACCGUCAGAGCCGGCGCCGUGGCGGGGACCGUACCACGUCGCGCCGCCGUCAGACCAGCCGGAGACGCUGGGCGGAUGGAGGAUGAGGAGGCAGCUGCUGGCUAGAGCCACGAAAGCGAGGAAGGAAGAAGAAGCCAUGCUCACGCUGAAGAAUAUACGAUUACUCCGGGUACGUUAGAGCAAGGAGAGUCUCUCGCCAUGUAUUUAUAGGCAGAAGACGGCCAGAGGGAUCGCGCGCUGAUUACAUGCCGAUUGGAGGAGAGUUUUCCGUUUAUUCAAUUAGCGUAUCCUCAAAGAUUUUUUAACUUCCUGAAAACAAAGCAUCUUUGCAGGGAUUCUAUCCGUUGUUUGUCUGAGAAACAAUUGUAGCUCAAUCAGUGAUGUAUCCGUCAGAUCUUAUAUGUGGAAAUUUAUUCAAAACUUUCCUUUUAUAAGUUUUUUUUUUAGAAUCUUCUUUUAUAAGUUUUGGUAGUAUUUAUUUUCUCUCCGUUGUUCUUCAUGGCCUAUAUAUAUAUGCUCUGGGCCAAGAAGAUUAUGUGUAUGUAGCAGAUUUGUCUGGGGAAAUCCCUACUUGCCGCAUUUAUAUGACAAACUAACGAGGAUGGCCCGGCCCAUUUGCGUGGAGAAGUAUCCGGUUUUGAAACCUUCUGGAAGGCCCCAGUCGGUUUAUAGCGGUUGUGGGAACCUUCCAGAAGGUAACAAACCGAUUUUUUAUUCUGUCUUUUAAUUUCGUUUUUUCUUUUCUUUUUUGUCAUUUUUGUUUUAUACUUUCUUAAAAAUGUUCAUGGAUUCAAAUUUUAUUGUUCAAAAGUUCAAAAAGUGUACACAUUUCCAAAAACUGUCCGAAAAUUUCAAAAAAAUUGUUCAGAAAUUAAAAAAACAUUCCCAUUUUCCAAAAAAUCAUCUAUUUUAAAAGUGUUUGAGUUUCGAAAAAAUGAUCCUUUUUUCAAAAAAAAUCAGAAUAUUAAAAAAAUGUUUCUGUUUUCAAAAAAAAAAUAGAUUCAAAGAUUGUUCGUGUUUUCCAAAAUGGCAGGUCAGCGACUCGUUCUGGUGGCGACAAAGAUCGCUUGGUGCUCCAGAGACCUUGAUGUAAUUUUCAUUAUGUUUGGAGAGUUUUGAACUUUGAUGAUAGAUCUGAAUCUUUUUCGCAGAAAAAAUAUACAACAAAUAUGAAGCUUCCUACAUUAUAAUCAUGCAAUAUUGAUGUGUGUUAAUGAUACAUCGGCACCAUCUUGCAAUAAAAGAAAAUAGGCUGCCAGCAAACUCGAAACAAUCAUGCAAGAUUUCAAAGCAUACGAAAGCAAAAUGAUAGAACUUUGUGCAUGGUUGUAAUAAUGGCUGUAAAAUCAACACUUGGUGCCACCGUAGAUGGGAACAUGGUUGAAGCCAAUUACUCCAAAGACGCAAGUGUGAGUCUUGUGCCUCCACAGUAUAAUUGUGUGAUGUAUACAUCAGGAUAAACUCCUUCCCCAAGAACAUUUCUGCAAACGUCUAAAUGGUAUUCCAUCCGCUUUAAAAUACUUGUCAUGGUUUUAGUUAAAGUACAUAUGAACAAAAUUACCGUAUGGACACAGCAGGAUAAACUCCUCCCCUCAAGAGAAAAGAAAUGUGACGUCACGAAACAUACAAAUGGCAACCUUGUAGUAUCAAUCUUCGCAUAAUGAAAAAAAAUGUUUCUACGGAUUCUAAGAAGAUAUUAUUUUUAGGGUUUGUAGAUCUUACUCAGUAUUUUUAGGUACAACAUGGAAUUACGCCAGUGAGGCCUGGUUUGGCAGGCCGGGGCAGGCCAGAAAUUUCAAAGAUCAUACUUUCUGGGCCGAAAAUUUCCCAACUUACUCCGGGUUUUGCCCCGGGCCAGCCCGCCCCGAUCCCAGAUUCUCGUCCCGAUUGAGCCCUUGAGGGACGCGCAGUUUAUUCUCCUGCGCCGCAGCCGCCUCCAGCCGUUUAUCGCCGGCGCGUUGAUCGGCUUCGGCGCCGCUCUGGCUUACGCACCGCAACCGCCGACCUCCGCCACGGCCGCUGCCACGCCUUCUUGUUUUUCUUUUGUUACAACGGCGUCCUGGUGUGCUGGAAUCCGUUCACGACGACUGUUUCCUGAGCUGCGCUUGGUUCCAAACGAAACUACGGGAGAAAGAGAAACAUGAGAACUUACUGUGGCUAAUAGUUUUCCCCUUCUUUUGUGCCAAGCCCUCUCCUAUAGUCCUAUUCCAUCAGCAGUGCUACUGCAUCACAAAGAACAUACUAUCACAACUGAAAAUUACUCAACAGCAGUUCAAAGUCCUGUUUGGCUGUUCGGUAGCUGCUAUGCUUGCAUCAUUAUUUAGUUACCUUUCUAUCUCAUACUGUGAACUUGUGAAGACUAUGCCCCCUGUGAAGAUCAUGUUCAGCACACUGUUUUAUCAUCUUCCUGCAAGAACUAGUACUGCUGCCUUAAAAAGAACAGCGCAACUGCACCUGGAAACUUGAUGUAGAGACACCAUCAUGUUUGCACUGUUUUACUCUGUAUUUUCGUGUGAAAUAAGACAUACUCAGGAUUCUAUUUUCGAUGUUGGAGCUUUCCUGUGGUCUGGAGUUUGCCAUGGAAGCAUUUGUAACAUAAAUUUAUACAACCUAACAUUCAUCUUCACUUCUUCAGCCCCUCGAACACUAAAACUUCUGCAUUCUAGGGUGUCUUGUGUAGGCUUUUUACCUCAAAAUUACUUUGCUGCUGUUAGAGUUUACUAUGGAUUAAAAAAGAAAUUACAGAUCUGAUCACAAUACUUGAGUUAAUUUCCCUACUGCUACUUGCUAUUAUUUUUCAUCCAUAUGUCUAAUCCAGGGCCGGCUUUAAUUUGGUUUUUAAAUGUUUACUAAGAUAAUCCAGUGAAGUCUAAAUCCAUUAUUAAUGCUAGAGGGAAACCAUUAUAAGUAUAUACAAAUGCAUAUCUGUUUGACUAUAGAGUAGUUGCACGUUGUCGCCAUCCCUAACCACCUUGAAAGGUUAAUCCUUGGAUUUUUACAUCGUCCAGCUGCAAGUCUACUCAAAGAAGCUACCUAUGAGGACUCCUGGGCAUGCUAAGAAGGUAAUUACAAUGGAACAACUGACUUUUGUUCAUCAGUUGUUAUCCUGAUGGUUAGGUUGCAGACUGGUGUCAUUGGCCCCAAACAACUAUACUUCCUGCUCUAAUUUUGUCACUGAGAACUUGUAUGUCAGUAUGUAUUCUCAACUACAUUAACAUUUUUAAGGUGAAAAAUGUGACGAAUGAUGUAAUUGAUGGCAAGCGGGGCAUGAUCUACAUUCCAGACCAGAAGGUCUGUGUCUAAUUUGUUUUAUUAAUAGUUGUGAAGUUUAAAUUAAACCUACUGGUAUACUUAAUCUGCUUCAUGUUCUUUUUUUACUGAAAGAUUUCAAAAUUGACCUUAACAAAAGACAUAAAGGGUCUGAAGCGCGAGCGCCGUGAUGCCAAGAAAAACAAGGGGCAUUCGAAGAAGCAAAAGGUCAACCCUGAGUGAAUAAUACAGUCAUCAUAUAGUGUCCGAACAUAUUCUGUUUUCCAACAUCAAUAUCAUUAAUGCUUGUUCCAGAGUUACUGAAGUCUGCACUGCGGUAUUGAGUUAGCUAGGUACUCCCUCCGUCCGAUAAUAUAAGAGCGUUUUUGACACUAGUGGGACGGAGGGAGUAGUUCUGUGUCAAUUUUUAGAUAUAUAAUGCAGCUUACGAUGCUAUAUGUCAUGGUUCGGUUCAUGAUCUUGGCCUCUGUCACCAUAAUAGUCCAUGUUCUUUGGCUUCAGUUAUGUACUGUAGGUCUUUAUCAUCGAUCAAAAUAAAGUUUCACUAUUCUUGUUUCGGAGUUGAUGUGACAAGUCAGAUGAUAACGUUUUGUAUCAGUCUAAACUCUGACGAAGCUUGCUUCUACAGCUUAGUAUUUUUUUUUACUUUAUGCCCUUUAAUUAGAUUUGUGUUGUAUACUGUGUUCAACAUUUGCCGAGAUAAAUCAUCGAUCUUCCAAUUCUGUAACAGUUUAUGCAGUCAGUCAACAUCCCACUCAGUACAGAUUCCAUUGCUGCCUGCCACUAACGUUAACUCUGUUUCAACAUUUUAUUUUCAGCCGAGGAAGAAGAAGAAGAAGCCCGCUCCCAAGAGUGCAAAAUGAAGGCGAGUGAAAGCCAUGACUCAAGUGACACGCACCAGCUGAACCAAUUGUCUCCUUAGCGUCUUAACAUCGUACGUAAAAUUUAAGCUCUGUACUGGCUACCUUAAAGUCACUGCUGGGUUUAAACACCUUAAUCAUCACAGCAAUCUUUUGAGAAUAGUUUCUGCCAAAUGCAAGGUCUUGUGUAUGGGUUUGGUAGUUUUGCACACAAAAAAAAUUUAUGAGUAGAUUUUUAAUUGUAGUACUGCUGUUUGCACCAUCUUAUCUCAGUAUAGCAGGCACUGCCUAUCAACCAACAACCAUUGUAAAAGGCGAUUGGGGAUAGGGGAGGAUUGCGGAUGAGAGGGAAAAUUGGGGAUUGUUACAUUAAAGCAAGGCUUUAUUACUAGCCAUUGUUGGGCAUUUCGCCUCGUACAAACUCGGCGACCAGUGUCGGAAUUCCAGUUCCAAACCAAGGAUGAUCAACACAGCAGCUACAACCUUGGCCAUAGAACCCUCGAUCCGUUGGUGAUUGGGUGGGUGUUUUAAGUCUUCACCCACACAAAUCAUAACCUGAUUCACCGCAUCAUCCUUCAUACAAUAUGCAGCUAUGUUCUUUUUUUCCCUGCUGUCGUGUAGUACACGAGACACGUGAAACAGGGCACGAGUAGCAGGAGAAGAUGAGAUAUGCCGUAGGCGUAGGUCCAUAGCAGAAUCAGCAAAUUUUGGCAGAUGUUGCUUUGCUCCCUGCCAAUCACAACACACACAUCAGUGUAUUUCAGCACAACCCUCAAACUCUGGAUAUACACCUGACGAAUUCUGUCAUAAAAAGGAGAAAUAGUAAUUUAUAAACCGGUCGAACUCGUGCAGACGCUCUGGUGCUUCUCCUUGGCGAGCCAGGCGUCUUCCAUGGCGCAGUAGUUAUUCAUCAAUUCGGAGAGUCCGGCCAUGGUUCUCGGCCGGUGAUGGAUGAGGUCCCUGUAGAGCCACUCUUCUUUUAUGUUGUUAUUUCUGAAUGCUGUCAGGGCGUCUCUGUCACUGCAAUCUGGGGUCGGUGAAUCGGUUCUGCAAGGAUCCAUUUGUAAUUUUCUUUAUUUUUGGGUUGUGUUGUACUACUGGUUCCCCUUUUUUUACGAAAAGUCAUGUGGCCUAUUCGUGAAAAAAGGGGACCAAAACUACCGAACCAUCUCAUCUGACUUUUGAAUUACGAGUGACAAAUCUCAGAUGUCUGUUUGUCCGGUGUUCUCGCCGAUCUGAUCGCCCAUCUUGAUCGUCAUCGGAUCGAUGCAACUAUAUAGCAAGACCUACAUGUGCCACUAAUGACGAAGUCGAUUCCAGCAGAUCUCUGAUAGGGGGUCUCGAACUAGUGGCCUAGAUGUGAUGGUAACAGAGACAAGAGAUUUUUACCCAGGUUCGGUCUUUCCGAGGAGAUAAAACUCUACGUUCUGCUUGUGUUGUAUUGAUUUGGGAUGAAGUACAAAGUACAAGUUGAUCUACCAGGAGAUUGAUGAUGUCGUGUACAAGCCUUACCCCCUGACUUAUAUAGGUACCGGGGGCCUAGGGUUACAAUACGUAUAAGUGUUGUAGACGAUAUCUAAGUCUUAGAGUAUGAGCCAAGUCUUCAAAAAAUAUUCCUUCUACACGUGGGCCACUUUGAUGUGGCCCGCUGGUGAACCGACAUGGGGUCCACAGCCCAGCCCACCUGGCCAAGAGACAACAUGGUGUGUGACCCCUAAUCCGAAACACCAUCCAUCUAUACUUUGUACUCCAAUCCAAAGCAAUAAGCGCAAGCAGUACGCAGGCAUUGGAGAGUCCAAACCUGGGUAAAAAUUCAUGUCAUGUUACCAUAGCAUCUAAUCGUCUAGCUCGAGAUCCCUACCCUGAGAUCCCUACCCCGAGAUCUGCCGGAUUUAGCUCUGUUAGCUCCCGCCCGUAGCGCAUCAUCUGCCUCCCGCAGCCGCUCCCGUUACUUGUCCAGCUCCUCCACCGGUGACACCUCAUUUCUGCCGCGUCUUCUGCCCUUUGCACAUGUGACAUUGAUCUGGUGGAACGCCUCGAAAACAUGCCAAGAUAUCCCUUCGUUGCACCCGCAUCAUCGCCAGUCGCGACGAGGAAUGCCGAUGUCGCCGUGCGGCGACAUCGAGAUGGGAGGCAUGGUGGAGGAGCUCAGGGUGUGGCGUGGGGGAGGGGGGCGAGCCUGUAGCGAAGCCACGUGGAUACGUAGCCGAAGGCCCGAACGAAGUGGCGGCUGGAGACUCGGACGAGGGGGCGUCACAUAACAAAUGAUUGCGGUUCUUUUCCCUAUGAAGUGCGCGAGGAGAAUGAUGGUGACGCCGUGGGCGAGGGAGGCAUGGCGGGACGACACAGUGACAAGCGCAAGAAGAAGAACGGCGGCUGUGGGCGCGGCCUAGCAAUGGAGCCAUGGCGGGACAACACUCCAACGAGCGCAAGGAGAAGGACGGUGGCACUAUGUGCGCGGCGCAGUGAUGUAGCCAUGGUGGGGGGCCAUAUUUGCGGGAUGGGGAGAGAAUUGAGGAAAGAAGAUAGCGGAUGGGGAUGAAUAGGAUAAGGCAUUCACACCAGAACAUGUUUAGGGAACGGGCUAGAAAGUUGACGUGUAUCCUCUAAGUGUUUUUUUAGAUUUGUGCGUCUGAUCCGACGGUAAUUAAAGCUUUCUUUCCAAAUUCUAUAAAUCCAACGUUGCGUUUUAUAGUGACUAGUAGAAUGCCCGUGCGUUGCUACGGGCAAAAACCGAAUACCUAUAAUUUGCCAUGGAAUAUAAAAAUAUGGACACAUAGAUCAAAUUAUUAUUUUUUAAUUGAGAUAUACACAUUAAGCAUUGUGUCUUCCUAUUUUCAUCAUACUCUUUCACAUUUUUCCUUCUCGGCAAUCUCCCUAUCUUCUUAACAUGCCAAAUCCCUCACCAUCCAAGAACUUAUAACUUGAUAUAUACCACCCAUGAUUAAAUAGCAUAGUAGAAUGCCCGUAGCACGAGCUACAAUACAUAUAAAUGACUUAAACAAAUGAUUAAGGUCGUCUUCAUGGUCGAAACUCAUUUCUCCUUCGUAUGUUUGGGCAGGUUCAAACAUCAAAUGGGCGCCCAGUGGGCUCCCCAAAAUUCAACCGUCUAGAUAGUCAAGGCUUUCUCAAAUCUAGCUCAUGUGGGGGUGAAAUGUGGUUUCCCGGUAUAUCCCAACACACACAAAAAACCACCCCGCAACGCACCCUUCCCUUUCCCUGCGGAACCGUCUCCUUUCUACUCGGUUUUCCGCCAUAGCACGGCAUUUCUCGCUGAAGCCCUCUCCUUUAAAAUCAGAUGACGCCCAUCUUCGUCAUGACACCCUCUCUCCAUCACACCAUAACUAAACAAACCAACUCCAACCCUUAUUUCGAUCAUUCUCAACCCUCACUCUUAUCACAAAAUCCACUAAUUUGUGGUCUAAUUGAGCCAGCGAUCGACGUCGUCGUGGCAGGCCAACAACAAGGGACAUGGGCGGCAACCGCCUCCCCAUCUUAGUGCUAGGAGGUGAGCUAGAGCACCCAAUGCCCUCCCCUCGCCGGCCAGCAAAAAACAUAGCACUGUGGAGUGCUCUGCUCACUGGCGAUGGGGCAUAUAUAAGCAACUCAUUGGUCCCGGUUCGUGGCUGGAACCGGACUAAAGCGCAUCCUUCUGUCCCUGUUCCUGCCACGAACCGAGACCAAUGGUUGUAGGCCAGGAGCGAGGCCCAUUGGUCGCGGUUCGUGCCAAGAACCGGGACAAAUGGGCCCAGACGAACCGGGACCAAUGCCCACGAGGCCCCAGCCGGCCCCCUGGGCUCACGAACCGGGAAAAAUGCCUCCAUUGGUCCCGGUUUGUGGCAGAACCGGGACUAAUGGGCUGGCCAAGCCCGAACGAAAGCCCCUUUUUCUACUUGUGUCUCCCACACAGCUAGCCAGCCGUUGGCCGUUUGCCGCAUUAUUAUACCCCCAAGCUAUCAAACAGUAUUGCUGACACUGCAUAUUUGGCUUCACGCAAAACUUUAGAUCUCGUGUUGAAUCUAACCUCAUAGAUUGAGUAUGAAAACAUUUACAAAUAUGUUGAUACUAAUGAUAAUAAUAUAAUAUAUGAUUAUGUCUACACCCGAGCAUCUUCUCUAGCAGAAUGCUCGGGUGUUGCCAUAGAACAAUAUAAAAGAAAUGCAUCCAACUAAGUGUUUCAUCUUAAUAUUAACAGGUAUAAUGCAAGGGAGGGCGAUAUGCCCCAAUACCAACAUGUGUCAUUGAUUGGUUGAUGUGUGAAGUGUGAUACUCUUGUUCUUAUCUAUGUCUUCAAUAAUGUGGAUCGAGGUCCUUGCUUCCUCCUUCUAUGUGCAUCACAUCUCUUUGUCCUCAUGGGUUUACUCUUCUAUGUCCAUCACAUCUCUUUCACCUCAUUGUGUCUCCUACAUCAUCACCUCAUAAGGUGACUCGUGCUUGUGUCCUAGUUUUUUUAAUUUUCGCAAACCCCUUGGUGUGUACUUUCAUAUAUUUGUAGUAAAAUUAAGGGAAAGUGUACGAAUGGCGAAAAACAGCUCAUAAUUGCCACAAAUGAUUGUUGAGUAAAAUAAGAAACAACACAUAGUUGCAUGAGACCAAGAAAAUAUCAAGUCUGUAUGAUUUAUUAACUAUUUAAAAAUAUUCCUAGAUGAAAUGACAAAUGUUUUUGUAGUGCCAAAUUAAUUUUGAUAAAAUUGUAGAACCAGAUCCUGUUUUACGAAUUAGUCAUUCGAUUCCAGAGAGGGCAUCACAACUUACAUGUUUUGAGACAGCAAAUCGCUCCGCAGUUGUUCGCUAAAAAAAGUAUCCAGUAAUUAUCCUUCCACAUGUUGUUGCCCAAUCACUGGACUUUCCUUGUUGGGAAGUAAGUUCCUAUUGUAGAUGAAUUCCUUAAUCGUUAUCUUCAAAAUUCAAUUAAUACAAGAUAUAUAGCAUAACAGCAGAAACAACGCUAAGGCAAAAAACUGGUGCAUAAUAGGGGUAGGUUCUUUUGAGCACAUAUCACCUACCUUCCUAGUCAAAUAGCCUUAAUUGGACCUUCAAGGGUUCACGUCAAAUUACUAAAUACUAUAUUUGCAACAAAAUAAUCAACAACUUUGAAUAUGUUUAGGCAUGUACGCUGUCAUUGGAAAAUUCAAGAAAGGAAACAGCCAAAGACGACACUAAUACUACAAGAAAGCAGUGACAGUAAGCCAUGCCUGUGCACUUAAGAUUACGUUGGAGACAGUGAUCGACGCUGUUUUAUUUCAUGAAAUUCAUUGCAUAAAAAGGAGAUAUUUAUCUACUGAUAUUAUUCAUUAUGCAAUAUGAUGGAGAAAUAAGCACACAGUGGAAUCUUUGAUCAAGCUAGAUGUCAAGACUUCAUGCCAGAUACUGAUUUAAAUAAUUGUAGUUAUAAAUUAUAAAUCAUGUGACCAUGAGCAGCAGUAAGGCAUGCUUUUGCAGAUCAGAUAAUAAUUCAACAUUGAGCAUGAAUCCAUGAACCGCAAAAAAAUGGCAUGUUUCUUUUACUAACAGAAAAACUCAAGUCAACACAUAGAAAGUUACGGUAAGUAUACUUCAUUCCCGAGUGGUUUGCGUUAGCCUGAUAGUAUGCGUGUCUAAUAGAUAUUGCUUGUCUCUCAUGACAAUUGAUGCUCUCCUUCAGCUUAGGGCCUUCCAAGAUUGAAAGGUAAAUGAUUUCUGCAAAAAGAAAGAAACAUGAAAAAUCUAUUAGAUAACAAUAAUCUUGGAUAUUGCCAAAUGUGACUAUAUCAGAAUUCUAAGCGCACAUGCAUUCUGUAGUUUUUUAUGGACAAACAGGUAUUUCCAAAACCAACAUACAGCCUCCUGCCCUCCUGCAUAAAGCUAUCGGUUUUAAGCCCCAGACAAACCAGGCAGUAAAACACGCUUUUAGGGCCUGUUCUGAACCUCUCCCAACUCUCCCAACUCCGAAGAUUCAGCUUCUCAGCCUGGCUUCUCACUCCAUCUAGCGAUCCCGGUUCGUUCGGCAGCUGAAUCAGCUUCUCUCUCGCAACUUUGGGCUGGCAGCGGCUGUUGGGCUGUCUUGCACCAUAUUGGGCCGGCUUGGAAGCAGGCUGGCAGCCCAAAAAGGUAGGAGAGACCGUUUUCUGUUCCAGGAACAAGCACGAGGCUGUUCUCACGAGGAAAGAAGGGAGGAGAGAGGUUAAACGAAACGUUUUUCUUCACUUGGCGGUGGCACACCUUGUAAUUUCAGUUCACUCCGCGUUUUAGAGGAUUCCGUGGAGCAUCGUUUUCUCAGCUUCUCAAACUCCACCAAAAUAACACUACGGGUCGUCACAACUUCUUGAAGCUAGCUUCUCACAUAAAAAACGUUCGGCUCAGCUUCACAUCUGGAGUUUACGGAGCGCGGAGCCGGAGGACUUCAGAACAGGCCCUUAUUGUAUGAAUUAUGAAUGAAUGAAAGGGAGAUGUACAUUUUUAAGAAAAAACGCAUAACAANNNNNNNNNNNNNNNNNNNNNNNNNNNNNNNNNNNNNNNNNNNNNNNNNNNNNNNNNNNNNNNNNNNNNNNNNNNNNNNNNNNNNNNNNNNNNNNNNNNNNNNNNNNNNNNNNNNNNNNNNNNNNNNNNNNNNNNNNNNNNNNNNNNNNNNNNNNNNNNNNNNNNNNNNNNNNNNNNNNNNNNNNNNNNNNNNNNNNNNNNNNNNNNNNNNNNNNNNNNNNNNNNNNNNNNNNNNNNNNNNNNNNNNNNNNNNNNNNNNNNNNNNNNNNNNNNNNNNNNNNNNNNNNNNNNNNNNNNNNNNNNNNNNNNNNNNNNNNNNNNNNNNNNNNNNNNNNNNNNNNNNNNNNNNNNNNNNNNNNNNNNNNNNNNNNNNNNNNNNNNNNNNNNNNNNNNNNNNNNNNNNNNNNNNNNNNNNNNNNNNNNNNNNNNNNNNGCACAUCGUCCAUGACCGCGGGCCGCGCAACAUCGUCCAGGGUUGAAUCGGCAACAUGACAGAUGACAUCCGAUUUGUUAUUAGUGCAGUUUACCUGUCAUAAAUUCAGAGAAACAUCAAUUAGAUCACAGGGCUGUGUUGUAAAUGAACAGGAACCGGUGCACUAAACAUCUGUAAAAUUAGGCCUGCUCAUGAGAGCUCAGCAAUAAUACAUAAAAUCUUCCCAGUACCAAUAUGUAACAACGACAUCAAUAUUAAUCAAAAAAAUAUUCAUAGCUAAGUGUUCCAAACUGAAAAUUGAGACAACCCAAUACUGCACAAGGAACCAGAGGAGGAGACAUGGAGCAUCUACCAGUGGUGGCCAACAAAUCUAACCAGGUCUCUUCGCGCACCUCUCCAGGGUCUCCGGCAGCGACAAGCUCGAACUGCCCCCACUUUCGUCUUCGUCGCCCCCGCCUGCUCUGGAGUCUCACAGUCCAGCUCGUAGUUGGUGACGAGAUCGAAGUGCGUCUUGUUGAGCUCGAGCACGAGCACAAGCCCCUCGCCCUAGUCAAGCUCAUACACGUCACGGGUGUUCUGGGACCCGCCAAGCAUACGAACGGCGGGGCGUACCCACUAACGCCAUACUCGUCAGAGAUGAGUCGGGCGAUGGGGGAAUCGACCCCACCAAGACGAGCGGGGUCGUUGAAGCAAGCGAGGGCGAGGGAAUCAAUUUCCUACUUUGUGUUGUUCUCCCUCCAGACUCCACUUGCUAACACCACCAAUGGAGUAGUGCUUUCAUCGUCUUUGACUCGUCGUGGUAUGUAGUCACGGAAGAUUCUUUUAUUGUUUUCUCAUAAGUAAUUUCUGCUCUUUUGCUCAUGGCAGCAGUCUUGAUUAGUUUUCACCCGCAGCAUUUCAUCAGACGUAAAUAUAAGGGUAUGCCCGAACAUUGCUUGUCAGAUUAUCCAUUCCUUUCCUCUCAUCCGAGAUGCAUCAAGAAAGUGAGCCAAAACUGGGAACUAAAGGUGCAUAUAGUGAAUUCGUAAUGCACAUAGAUAGACAUAUAAAAUGUGGCAAACUAACCAUGAGGAACUCUUUGCCUCUUAGAAAUGAAAUAACAACUUGGUUCAGGUAGAAAAUGAAAUACUCCCUCUGUCCUAAAAUAAGUGUCACGGAUUUAGUACAAUUUUAGUGCAAAGGUGUACUAAGUUAACGGCACUUAUUUUCGAACAAAGGUAGUAGUAAGUUACCUGAGAUAAUGUACGUAUGAUUUAAUGAUUAAAUGACCUGACAAAAGGGCUCCCUCUGUAUUAAUCAUUCUGCAGAAAAAACAAAAUUAUGAGUUCCUUGCUCUGAAGCACCUAACUGCAGUUUUGUAGUAAAUGUCUGAAAAGUAAAAUCAUGCUAAAAUACAUGAUAUAUGUCAGCAAAUACAAACUUUCUUUCAUUUAUAUGUUUAGUAGAACUAAAUCAACAUAUAUAAAUGGCAGGCAUUACAUCCAUCAGAGUCCAAGGCUCUUUUUGGUGUCUUCAAAUGCUGCACCCACUACUACCGGUUGGCUGGAACAAUUGCUGAUUUUUAAUGACUCCCUCCAUCUUAAUCUUUCAGUAUAACUACAAUUGAUUAAGAGCUCCUAGCUGUGAAGAACCUAACUGCAGUUUUUUUAAUAAAUGUCUGAAAAGUAAAAUCAUACUAAAAUGGAUGAUAUAUGUUGCAAAUAUGAAGUAUAAAAAGAAAGUUAAUAAUAUACCAUACAGUAAUAUGAGUAAACUCUGCAGAUCUGAACAUGCAGGCUUUAGCAUCAGGGAUUAUAGCUUUGGCAGUGAGUUUCUCCUUCCAGCACACAGACAUUGCCUUGUUUCUCUUUGUACAGACCUCAACAUGAGAAUCUUGUGAACUUAUUUCCAUUACCUUGGGAUGGUGAAAUCUUUAUGAUACAAAGUUGAUGCAUGUAUUAGUUAACCUGCAGAGAAUUCCAUAUUUUGAUCUAUAUAAGCAAGAAAGCGUACAAAUGAGGAAUAGCUUUAUUUAGGGCUUCUCAUAUAGGCCAUUGAGUAAAUUGCAUGAAAAAGAGUCUUAUGUAUUAAAAUAGAAAUACACAAUUCAUAAAAUAUUCAGGAACAAACAAAAUAUAGGAAACAAAUAGAAACAUGUAGUUGGUAAAGGAAUCACACAAAUAAAUUAUGAUAUAUGAUAGAAAUUGCCAAUGGCCUUAGUUACUGCUAUCCAAUAUUCUGAUUUCUGCAGUUAACUACUAACCCAUGACCUGUAAUCCAAUAUUACUACUCCGGAUUAGUAGCAUCCUCCUCAUUCCCAUCUUGUUCAUCGUCCCUGUUACAAAGAAACAUCAUCUCGAUGUAAAAUCAUAGUGCUUGAAACUAAUUCGUAUCUCUAGCAGUACAUUACAUCCGAUGUACUGACUGAAAAAAAUAUAAUCAAUUUCUAGCAGUACAUUACAUCAAUGUUAGGAAAAAUGUGUAGUUGGCUAUGUCGCAUGUCCGCUGGAAAAGGGCCAGAAGAAUACCUUGGUCCAGAGAAAUGGGGUUCAGUGCACACAACCCUCGUAAAAUAACCUGGCUGAAAGGAUAUUAGAGUAUCAGGUACCCACAGCGACACACAUCCUAAUUAAAACGUUGGAUAACCUGAUAAAAGUGUUUCUCCGUGUACCAGAAGCACGGGUGCAUGAGAUGGACUAACUAUGAGAUGCAAAACUCUGUAUUUGUAGGCAUCUUUUGAUUUUCUCAAGCAUCAAGAAGAAAAUGGGGAAUAUGCGAAAUACACUUCAAGUUUUAUGUGUGGAAAAUACCUGAGAGCACAACCAAAGCACGCCCCUCAAUUUUUUCGCUCAGAUAUUACUCUGCUCAACUCCUUCACCGGGUCCAGUGAAACAUCAACCUAAAACAGCAAUUACAACCAGUAAACCAAAUGCUUGAUACUUUUAUUAUUCAGAAAACACACAAAAGUUAGGUGGAGGGUUAAGACUACAUCUCAUGUUUGAGUUGUACCGAAGGCCAAGGGUGGAAACAGUUUGACAGAGCACAUAGUUAGAACCAAGAGGGUGGAAGAAAUUAGUAGUUAGUACCUUGGGGAGAUUAGGCAUUGGUCCAUUGACGAACUGCAAAACACAGUAUCACAUAUUGGGCAAGUCUGAAACCACAUUAGCAUGGCAAAUCAGAGCGGAAAACACGAUUUUGGAUGAGGAUGGUUUGUACCUGCACAUGUGCAAAGGGACCCGUGAGAUCAGGCUGCGCGCGGUCCAGCAGCGUGUCCUCCUCGUCCUCGGCCGCCUCCGUCUCCUCCUCCUUCUCCUUCUCCUCGUCCACAGGCUCGGCGGCGGCGACGGGGUCGGCCACCACUGCUCGGGCUCCAUCAGCGCGGCUCAAGCGGCGAGGCAGCGAGGCAUGGCGGGAUAGGGUUAAGGUUGCGUGCGGGAGCGGCGCUUGGGGGCGGAGUCGCGGCAAAGGGUCGUGAGGCAAGAGGUGGCGGCGGCGCCCGUGGCAGGAGGUGCUGCUCCACCGACGUGGAGGCUCUACGGCGGCUCCCCCGGCCGGAUCUGGCACUCUCUCCGUCAAAUCGGAUUGGGGAGGGAAGCUCCGCAGGGGUCGGCGGCAGAUCGAUGGGAGGGCGGCGGAGAACGAUCUGCUGUGUGGGCACGAGGCAUCGAUCGUAGGGUUUUUUUUGGCAUGGUUCUUUUUCGCGGGAGGGUUGCGAGUUAACGGAGGUGGGAGGAUGACGAAAAAAACCGGAGGUGGAAGGAUGACGAAAAAACCAGCGAAAUUAAACCGCGUAGACUAUUCACCAAGUCAUCCAUUAGAAGUAGAGAUCCUGUUUGAAAAUAUGGUCUCGUUAAUGUUUGAUAGCUCGCAUCCACCCUAAUCAGGUUUGCGUGGGAAGAAAUGAGUUAUUUGGUUAUUUAGAUUGCAUUAGACACUUACAUAGCACAAAACUUAAAGCAUUCUUCGGUCAGGCCCGCUAGAAACAGCCAAAUCGGCCAUUUCUAACGAGCCAGGCUGAGUCGAGCCACAUUGAGCACACGUGUUGGCUUCAGUUACACCCAAGGUGACGCUAGCUAGUAUACAGACAUUAAGCUCCUUCUCUAUUUUAUUUCUUUCAUUCCUUCUAAUCUACACAAUCGAUACUUUGAUUCGAGAUAAAUUCUAUACGAAAAAGAAGAUACACAUAGAUAUUAUAGAUGUUAUGGUUCUAUUCAAGCGAUCAGUUCAUAGUUCAUCGACUAUAAACGUUCAAUUUCGUGUUCAUUUUGGAGCUACUUUAGAUGAUUUUUGUCAAAUUCGUAGUGCAUGGUCAACAAUUUGAAAUUUUCUUUGGCUAGUAGCUUCAUCUUGCAAUUUCACACAAUUUUCAUGUUGCACAUUUUCUGUUUUGACGAUCAUAAACAAGUAGAUCUAACCUCUUCCUUGUGGAAUUUACAUAUGCAUAUGUAUAAUCUGUUUUAAUGACACUCCUUUAUUUUCUUCAUCUGGUCAUUCCUCUUUGUCUCCUCCCUUGUGGCAUGCGACAUUGGUGUCACCGCCGGCAUCUUUCCUCUUGGUCUCCUCUCCCACGUGUUGUUGCACUAGCGCCACUAUCUACGUCGUUCCUCUCAACAUCUUCUCCCGCAUGUUGUUGCACUAGCGCCACGGCCUACAUCGUUCCUCUCAACCUCCUCUCCCAUGUGUUGUUGCACUAGCGCCACGGCCUACGUCUUCCUCUCAACCUCCUCCCCCGCGUCUUACUACAUUUGUGCGGUCGCCGUUCAUCUCUGCCUUCUCUCCCACGUCCCGCUACACUAAAGCCACCGUCGGCAUUGUUCCUCUUGGCCUCCUUGCUGGUGUCCUAUUACACUGGUGCCGUGUCAGCGUCGUUCUUUUCGGCCUCCUCCUCCGCGUCCUCGUGCAUUUACGUCGUACGUCAUGGUGCGCACUACAUUUCUUCUCCAUGGUUUUCUGCCUCAACGUCCUCCUUUCGUCACUCCGCACGUACUUCCUUUGCGGCGUCGACGCUAGGAACCGCACCGCCGACGGGGUCGCUCGCCCACGGCUCCGUGCACGUCGUGUCGGACGCGGCGUCGCGGCCACCGUCCACGCAGUCAUGGAGGCACUCUAGUGUAACUAUGUGUGUUAUGUGUAGCUGUUAACUCUGAACCAUGUCCGGUAUACGCAACCAAACAUAGUAUAGUUGCAUCAGCGUAGUCAGCCCAGCCAGUGCAGAACACCAAACGCGAUGCCAAAAUUGCUCCCCUAGUGCAAGCAGCCUGCAUGCAGGCUAUCAAACGAUGUGUAGAUAAUGAUUUUUUUGCAUGUUUUUUCUCACUCGAGCCCAACCAAAACGAGUAUGUCAAGUGACAGAAACUAUGCAAGCAGCCAAACAGUCGGGAACCAACCUGUGGUUGAAUGGUUAGAGGGACAGUGGUAUCCCUAGCCUAUCAGGGUUCGUCUCCUGGUGCUCGCAUUAUUCUACGGUGACUUUUGUAAAUUUCAAAAUGACAUGCCGGCUCAGUCUGUUGAAGGUGCUCGUAGGGGUAGGGUGUACGUGUGUAUGAGCGCUUAUGUCUGUACUGAUGUUAAAAAAAGCAACCAAACGGUCCCAUCUGACCGUAUUGCACGGGUUGGAUCAGGCAGGACGAAGGAUGGUUGCAGUGCAGCUGGUGGCACGAGGCAGACCGGGCGGUGGCACGAGGCGACCCCGAGCCCGCGGAGGCCGCGUGCCCGGCACGCGCGGGCCACGCGCCUCCUGCCCUCCCGUGCGGCCGCGGCCCAUACAGAAAUGGCCAUGGCCUCGCGCCUGCACACACGAGAUCAGCGACGGAUAACACCAGCCCACGCAGCGGCACGCGCCAGGCGGGCGCACGGCACGGUGCCAGCCACGCGCCCUCGCGUGCCCCCCUGCCCCUCCCUCCCCGAUCCCAUUCCCACCGACGCGUGGGCUCCCUCCCUACACCCCCAUGGCCCGCGCCUCAUCGCCACGCCACGCCACCGCCAGCGCAACGGAACGGGCACGCCACGCGCCCCUCCGCCCCUUUUCUUCUUCUUCUUCUCGACUCUCCGCCAUUGCGCGAACCAAGAACAGAGAAGCGAGGCGGCGGCAACCCUUUCCUCCAAUCUCUUUCCAUUCGAGGUACGUACGUAGUACAGUACAUCGUCUGCCUCCUCCAAUCUUUUCUCUUUGGAUUUGGAUUGGGGACUGGUUUAUACGCACGGCUGACGGCGGCGGUUUCUUGGUUUCUAUCUCCAGACGUCUGCGGAGCAGGAAAGGCAUGGUCGCCAUGCUGCCCGCCGCGAGGGGAGACGCCGCCCCGGCCGCCAGCGCCGGCGCCGCCGAGAAGCUCCUCCAUGGGUGAGGCCUCUUGCUCUUGGAGCGGCUCCAGAUCUCCUUUCGUCUGGGGCCGGGUUUCAGUCAAUGGAUUCUCCGACUGCUUAUUUUCAUUAUCUGAACGUACGCCGGGAGUAAAUGGAUGCGCGUGAGGGCUGUGCCCGUGCUCCAGUGUUGCUGCUGAUGUAGUACCUUUCGAUCCGCAGGCCUCUCGCUGACGGCAAGUGCAAGAAGAAGGCCCCGAGGAUGAUUCACAAGGCCGAGAGGGAGAAGCAUAAGCGCGACCUGCUCAACGAUCUCUUCAGUGAGCUUGGCGAAAUGCUUGGUGAGUUCAUCACCAACCUCGUACAGUACUGUACAUUACAUCACACAGCAUUGCUCUUGGGACCCUGAUUCUCAGUUUUGGGGGUCGUUUUUUUUCUUUUCCAUCUGGUUAUCUCGAAUGUUACAGAGUUACGAUUGAGGGUAUGUGAGAAUCUGCGUGAUGUUGUUAUCAUCCAUGUCCAUGUCAUGAUUUUGGGGCGAAUGGUGAGGUUCAGUAUGUGUCAUGGAUUCCCUUAGUACUACAGAUCCCUACGAAUGUUUGUGUUGAUGAAAACGUGGAUCAACUUAUUGCAGUCUGUCAAGCUUCAGCUCCGACAUUACGUUACAGUUUAAAGCAGCCUGAGACAAUGUGAAUGUGCAUUGCCUGCUUGUCAGUAGCAUCCUACUGGUCUUAGAAUUUUUAUAUCACUCAAGUUUGCUACUGAAUGCUCCGUGGAGUAUUAAGCAUUUUUAUUCUGAUCGAAUGCCACAUCAUUUUUGCAGAAGCAGACAGGCAGACAAAUGGGAAAGCAUGUAUAUUGACUGACACCACUCGAAUCCUUCGAGAUCUGCUCUCGCAAUUAGAGUCUCUCCGAAAGGAGAAUAGCACACUGCAGAAUGAAUCCCAUUAUGUAAGUCGUUUCUAGAAUUGUGUUUGCUUCCUUCCUGUCGUAACACUGUUUUUCUUUCUUUUCUGAACUUAUGGUAUCUGAUCCUAUGGACUGCAAAUUAUUUCGAUUAUGCAUAGGAUAACUAGGCGAGACUCGUGCUAAAAUCAUCAUUCCAGAAUAUCCUUAUGUUGCUACAAUGCAUUUUAUCACAUGGUUCCUACAUAACUUGAGCGGUUGUUUAUUAUCCCAUCUUCAUUCUGCCACAAACAGGUUACAAUGGAGAGGAAUGAGCUGCAGGAUGAGAACAGUGUGCUCCGCAACGAAAUUCUGGAGCUACAAAAGGAGCUGACGAUGCCUCAUGCUGUGUCUCACUCUGCGAACACAGUUUUCCCGUCACAGCAGCCAAUGCAGCCGGCCACCAUCGCAAGCGCAGUAUUCCCCUUGCAGCAGCCACUGCUACAGACAACCAUCCUGGAGCACCCUUAUGCACCACCACCACCACCACGGGAACUUAAGCUCUUCCCAGACGCGGCAUCUGACGUCGAAGGCCUUGAACCAUCAGAAGAUCCGGAGGCCACCAACCAUAUCACGCGCCCGCUGGCAAGGUACCCAACAGAGUCAGCUUCGUGGCCUGUAACUGUAAGCCUGGGUCUCCCGAGGAUGGAAGAUGAACAAUGCAGCAGUGGCACAACCGGCAGUAGCAACGAAGGUAGUAGCUCUGCCUCUUCUAGAGAUUGAGUAGAUCAGUUCCAGCCAGUCAGGAAGUUUCUCUUUGAGCCUAGCGAAUAUACACAGCUGAGCAUGUGCGUGUAAAUACCAGACUCCAUCUUGGGUCCGGGAAUGUUAUGUUAGAUGAGAAGAUGACACUCUAAUGGGAAUCAGAAUAGCACCUUUUCUUCACCCUUUGUGUUGCAACUUAUGUUAACACCAUAGCGGAUGCAUAUGAACUGAUCUAGAAUCGAUAUGCAAAGCAAAACUAGGGCAAUAAGCCAUGGAGUCUGGUAGGAGAUUGCAUACUGAACUUCGGUAAUGCCGGUCUCCUCUGAAGGGGGAACCAGAAGAGGAACUGAAGAGGCAAUUGUAGGCGACUCCCUGAACGGCUGCGUAGAGGGUUUCCUUGCAUUUGGGCCAAUCUCCUUCGUUAUGCUUCCAUCCGUCAAUAGGCCGUCUUCGACUAAAUAUAUGAGUUUGUUUUUUUGCAUGGAAAUAUAUGAGUUUUAAUGAAGCUAGCAAUCUGCAACCAUACUGUUUCGGUGUCAUUUUGGAAUUUGGAGACUUAAACAAAGGCUAUCGUGUGAACUGUGACUUACUGUUUACUGAAAAGCAAUGCGCCCCUCAAAUUCUUGGAGAAGAAUGUGACUGAAUGUCCUCCUGACGCCGUGAGAGCUCCCAUAUGUUACCCCUCGAGGUAGUUUCCCAACCAUCCGGCUUGGUUUCACUAAAUUGCUAAAAACCAACACAACCAAAUUGCUAAAAACCAACACAAUUGCGUCGAGUAGUGCAAAAAGGCCUGCAGAAAACUAAAAGUUUGCAAAAAGCGUCGUUUUUUGGUUUUUUUUUUUGCCAAAAGUACUAAACACUUGGUUAAGAGCCAUUUGAUGUUGAAUCUGACUAGUGGAUUCCGUUGUCAUGGCUGACUUGGCACCAAAAUCUCUCACCAUUUGACUGGAAAAUUGUCUUGAUUUUUUCUAAGCGGUGGAAAAUUAUCUUGAUGAAGGGCCCACCUGUCACUCUCUCACCCAUACCUUCUUCCUCUUACUCCUGUUCAGCCCCCGGCCAGGAGCCCAGGUUUUUUUUUUUGAGCAUCACCAGGAGCCCAGGUGGACUCGCGGGCCAGCGCAGGUUAGUUCGUUUUUCUCCUCAGUUUUCCAGGUGCCCAGGUGGACACGCAGGCCAGCGCAGGUUAGUUCGUUUUUCUCCUCAGUUUUCCAUUCGUUCUUAUUUUUCUUUUCUUUAUUUUUUUUAGGGGUAUGUUUUCGAAAAUAUUCUAAGUACAUAUAUUCCAAAACCUAAAUUAACUUCGAAAUUUUAAAAAUAUGAAUUUGAAAAAUGUUAACACAGUGUAAAAAAAUUGUUAGCAUCCUUCAAUAAAGUGUUUGCCACGUUUAAUAAAUUUUCACGUGUUUCAAAACAAUGUAUGGGACAUUUUUAAGUAGUUUUAUACAAUGUAAAAAUAUUCGUGUGAUUAAAAAACUUAUCGUUUAAAAAAUAUUUACAUAAAAAUAGUUCGUGAAAUUUUUACAACAAUGAUUAUAAAAAUGUAAAAGAAUUCAUAUAGAAUAAAAAAUAUUUUUUAUCAUUCAAAACAAAUUCAUCAUAUACUUGAAAAUUCUUUGACACAUAUUCAAAAUCAUGUCUUCGGAAAAUAUUAAACAUAUAAUUGAAUUUUAUUUAAACAUCUAUACAAAAAUGUUUCAGAUGUAUACAAAAAAUAUACAAUGUGUAUGUUUAAAAUUAGACUUUUUUUUAGAGCAUAAGGGGAUUUUGAGCCCCCGGUUCCAUUAAAAAUGAAACCACGAAGUCUUACAUCACACUUCCAGCCGAAGCAUGUUCCGCAUCUCAGUCCAACAUAAACUGGGAAACCUAAAUUGCAUCGGCCUCCAGCCACUCUACUUAAAACUUUAUAUUACAUUAAUGGUGAACUUCUUAAGAAAUAUCAACUACUCCCAGGCAUCAUUUCUUAAGAAAUAUCAACUACUCCCAGGCAUCAUCUCUGGUUCAACACCUCUGGGGGGAGCAACACAUCCUGGCCAGAUCGCCUUGUCUCGUGUGAUCAGCAUCAGCCUUGCCAUCUUGAUCUGCUCCACGACAUCGCUCUUCAUCUUCUUGAGCGACUGAGUCGGCGAGCCAGGCAUCUCCAGAGGGGUGACUGGGCUUGAUGUAGCUCGAACAACUUUCUUCGACGGUAUAUCCAGUGCCCGGGUAGUGUUCUGCUUCCAAAGAUCCUCACCCGUUUUCAGUGACAGAUUAGCGAGCUUAGAGGUUUGGGAGACACCUUCAGUGUCAACUUCACCAUCAUUCACCCCACUGUCAACUGAAAAGGGGCUGCGAGAAUGCUGGAUAUCCAGCAUGAGAUUUGCUGAAGCUUCUCCAGCGACUCCCCUUUGUACAGGAUCAUCCAUCUUUUGAGCGUCCUCCAGACUUGCCACCAUAUCUGCUUCAAGUCAGACCAGACAGCGUUAUUAAACACAUGGUUGUUUCUAGUUUUCCAUAUGCUCCACAAGACACAAGCCACAAAAGCAUUCAUAGCUGUGUGUUUUUUGUUAGCCGACCAAAACCUGGCAAUGGGUAGAUAAUUUGCACCUAAAUCAAUAGAGAAGAAAUUUGAUAUAUCGCUCCAGAUUUUCCUGGCAACCACACAACCAAAGAACAAGUGAUCAACCGUUUCUUGUUCUAGACAGAAAACACAUUCCGGGGGUUUUUCAAUUCCCCUCUUGAGCAAGUUAUUUUUGGUCAUCAGCUUGUUGUGUGCUAGUAGCCACAGGAAGACCUGCACUCUGGGUGGUAUUACCAAAGACCAUAUGGAGGGGAUAUAAACAGGUGUUACACCCCUAAAAUUGAUAAUAGCAUAGAGAGAGCUAGAGGUGUAAAUCCCUUUUGAUUCAUACUGCCAAAUCAUAGCAUCAUCCUCAUCAGAGAGGGGAGUCUGCUUAAUGAUCUGUUCAAGACAGUACCAAUCCUCCAUCAUAGCAGUGGUAAACACUCUCCUAAAAGUUAACUUGAUAUUCUCCCCAUCCCAAAUCUCAGACACUGUUACACAUUGUUGGUGGCAGAUAGAGUACAAAUGCCAGAAUUGCACAGAGAGGGGUGAGGUCCCAAACCAGAUAUCCUCCCAAAAUCUGAUUUUCGUCCCACUCCCAAUUUUCCAUCUAUAGCCAAACUUCAAAGCUUUUGCAGCCCACGUCACACCUUGCCAAAAGUUUGAGGCUGCUUGUGGUCUGCUAGCAAAGAUAUUGGGGGCAUUCCUAUAUACUUAUUAUCUACAAUGGUCUUCCAGAUUUUCCCAUUGUCUUGAGAAUAUCUCUUAACCCAGCUCCCAAGUAAGCAAAGAUUUACAUCUAUGAUAUUUGGCACCCCUAAGCCUCCAUGUUCUUUUUUCAUGCAGACCAAGUGCCAGUUAGCUAGGUGAAGUUUCCUAUUCCCCUCAAAAUCACUCCACAAACAAUGUGCCAACUGACUAUUAAUUAAGUCUAAGGCCCAUUUUGGGAAUCUAAAGAAGGAUAAUAGAUAGACUGGAAUACUUGCUAAACAAGCUUUGAUCAGAGUAAGCCUAGCUGAGUAAGAAAGUAACUUCCCUCUCCACCCAGCCAUCCUUUUCAUGAUUUUAUCUAUAAGUGGUUGGAUGUCCUCCCUUCUCAGUUUAUCAUAGUGUAAUGGGAUCCCUAGGUAUUUUAUGGGAAAAGUACCUACAGUACACCCAAAGAUCUCAGUAAAGGUUGCUACCUCUCCCUCAUCUUCACCUAGAUGGAUCAGCUCACUUUUAGAAUAGUUAAUUCCCAUGCCUGAGACUUUUUCAAAACAGGUUAGGAUUUUUUUAAGAUUAGCUGCUUUUGUCUUAUCUUCAUCCAUGAACAGGAUGGUGUCAUCUGCAUAUUGCAUGCAGAUGACCCCCCCCUGAAUGAGAUCAGAACCCAGCCCUCUAAUCAAACUAUGAGAGGAUGCUUUAGCAAGCAUUCUUGUCAAUACAUCUACAACAAGAUUAAAAAGUAGAGGUGAAGCAGGGUCUCCCUGCCUUAAUCCUUUGUUAGUUACAAAGAAGUUGCUCUCCACUCCAUUUACUUUAACACCCACAGACCCCAUAUGAGUGAUCUGAUGGAUCCAAUUAAUCCAAACAGGACCAAAAUUCCUCUUAUGAAGGAUUUCCAUCAGAAAGUCCAAAUUAACUUUAUCAAAUGCCUUCUCAUAAUCUAGCUUAAGCACCAGACCUGGGUUAUCAGAGUGGUAAGUGGAGUGCAAGACCUCAUGGGCAGUCACCACACUUUCCAGAAUGAAUCUCCCUUUUAUGAAGGCUGACUGAUUAUUAGAAGUUAGGAAAUUCAUAAUAACAGCAAGCCUAUUGGUUAGUACUUUGGUGAAGACCUUAAAGAUGCAGUUUAACAAGCUAAUUGGCCUAAACUUUUUCAUACUGGUGGCAUCUUCCUCUUUUGGAAUAAGAGUAAUCAUGGCAAAAUUGAGCCUGUAGAUGUCUAAAUUACCAGCAUGAAAAUCCUUAAACAUUGCCAUUACAUCCUUUUUGAUGACCUCCCAAAAUUCUUGGAGGAAUAGGAAAGAGAGACCAUCUGGUCCAGGGGCCCCAUCAGAGUAGGAACCAAAUAUGGCCUCUCUCACCUCUUCCUCAAUAAAUGGUGCUUGAAGAGCUUCAUUUUUGUCAUUUGAGAUUUUCUCCUCUGAGGAGAAGAAAUCUUGACUUAGAGUGAAGCCCUGUCUAUCUUCUUUUUUAAACAAAUCUUUAUAGAAAUCAGAAGCUAUUUUCAACAUCUCAUUGAUGUCAGAUGUGGUGCCAUCUGGCCCCUCUAAAGCAUGAAUCAGGGUCUUCCUUCUCCUUUGAUUAGCUACAACAUUAAAAUACUUAGUAUUCCUAUCUCCCUCGAGGAUUUCCUUAUCUCUAGAUCUCUGCCUAGCCUUUGUUUCUUCCUUCAGCCAGAUGGCAUGAAGUUCCUUAAGGAUGUUCUGCAUCGUAUUAUUUUCCACAUCACACAGAUGUGUAGUUUCAUAUUUAAUAUCUAGCAUAUCAAAUUCUGCAGUGAGCUCAUUCUUCUUUUUCCUAAUACUAGCCUCUAAGUUCUUACUCCAGCCUCUAGAGAAUCUUCUAAACCUUCUUACUUUUUCCUGCCACACAUCUAUAGGUUUAGUCAUCUUAACUGGAGCAGCCCAGUUUUUAGCAAGUAGCUCUUUGAGAUCUUGGUGUAAAAGCCACCAUUUUUCAAACUUAUAGCUAGAUGCUCUAGGGUAUAAAAUUAGACAUAAAAGCAUAUAUUUGGGAAAACUUUAAUCAUGUAUUUGAAAGAAGCUAACUGUGUAUAAAAAAGUGUUCCUGAUGUAUAGGAAAAAUGUAUAAUGUGUACGAAAAAAUUAAACAUGUGUUGGAAACAAAGAAAAAGGAAAAAAAUAACAAAACCUAAAAAGGAAAUAAACUGAAUAAAACCAGUAAUUAAAAAAACACCGAACCCAAAAGAAAAAAGUUAAAACCAACACAUAAAACCAAAAAAGGGGGAAAAAAGGAAACCUGAACCGGAUAAACAAACAAAAAAAAUCAAAGGUUUAAGAUCCUUUAUUGGGCUGGCCGAGUAACACCUCGAUGCAAAAAAUACUUGAGGCAUGAGCAGCCACCAUCUCGACGAUAUAAGCGAGAUGGGAGCUCCCAUUGAACACUCAUCGUGUCCAACAACGGCAUGACACAUAGGGCGCUCCCUAUUGGGCCGGCCCAUGUAGUACUUGAGCACUAUAGCGGACUGGAGAAUAUUUGAAAGCACGGAAUUUGUGAACAAAUUUUGAAAACAAUAUUUAUUUUAAGUUCUGAAAAAUAUUUGAACCAAGGACUUUUUUAAAAUCUUUAAUUUUUUUUAGAAUUUUUCAAUUUUUGGAAAAUAACAAAAAAAAGAAAUGAACAAAAAACAAAAAAGGGAAACCCAGAAAACCUAGUAAAAAUAACACAAAGAACUCAAAAAGAAUACCGGUUCACAAACCUUCUAGUAAGUUCCCAAAACAGGCCGGGAACUUUCCAUAAGGAUCCCAAAAUCGGAUCAUGUACUAUGUUUUCUUCUACAAAUGAGCCGACCCACAUGAUCGACACAACACAACAUAUAGAAUACUGGGAUAAUACCCCGUACGUUGUUGCAGGAGUUGGCUGAUAUAUUUUUUGGUGAAGUUGAAACGUGAAUAUUUGAUUGUAUAGAUGUAAAAUAUUUUAUGGGAUAUAAUGUAAUAUUUUUCACAUGCACGGUUGCAUAUUUUGGUUGAUCAUUUGCCAUGCAUGGUAGCAUCUUGAGGUGGCCCUAUUUACAUGCAUGAAUCGUUGAAAACCAACACCGAAAAAAGGGAAAGAAAAAAGGAAAAACAGAAAACCAAAAAAUGAACGGAAAACGAAGGUAUAGCAUACCUUUUUGGACCAGCCUAGUAACACAUCGACGCGAAAAACCCUUGAGGCAAGAGCAACUACCAUAUCACUAUAAGCAAGAUAUAGCUCCCGCGUUCCCUCCAAAACAACUUAAGGCACUGUGGCGUGUUUCUGACUAUGAUACCGUUGACUAAGGUUUACUACGCGGUUGCUAAAUCGUGAUGGGUUAUAUUUACUUUAUAAUUUGUUGUGAAAAAACUAGACAUACAAUAAAUAGACAAUGUGGGUCAAAAUAACUGCUAAAAUUAACAAAAACGGAUUGGAUUGGAGUGAGAAAAUGAGAUUACUAGAAUCCAUCACAGCACUAAAGGUUAAGAAGGCUUAGGAGGUUCAUUCAGCAUGUCCAUGAAUUAUUUUUCUUUUUUCGUGAAUACGCAAAGCGUGCGUAUCUUUUCAUUGACAGAGGAAACAUAAUGAGUACAUGAAAGGGUACGCACAAACGCAUACAUGAGAAGGCGUGUGCAUGAAACUCGGAGCAGAGAGACAAGAGAUGCUUAGCCCGAAUAGAAGAAAAACACAGCUAAACCCACCAAGCCUGAAAGAGGGCCAGGCCGAACCGGCAUGACGUCAAACAUCUCUGAAGCCAACACCGAGGAUGCCACGAGCAACCAAGAUAGCGCUUUCCAGAAUGGGAGCGGCGACAUCAUCGAUCUGAAGAAGCGGAUUAAAGAUUUUUCCAGGUGCUCGAGGAGGGCCACAAGUAAAGGCCAUGGCAGCGUCUGCAAGAGAGGAAACAAACACCCGCGAGUGUCGCCGCUGCCAAUGCCAACAAUUUGAGCAGGGAUUACACCCUGGCCUGAGUCCAAGCAAUCUCAUUCCCGCCAAAUCAGGGUCCAGAGAUGAGGAAGUCAGUUUGUUGGUCGAGACCACCACCUCAAAAGGGGAGGAGGAGGGUGGGUGCCGCCACUGCGCGAUAGGGACAAAGCUGCUCCGUCCAUACUAGGGCACAAUGCGCCNNNNNNNNNNNNNNNNNNNNNNNNNNNNNNNNNNNNNNNNNNNNNNNNNNNNNNNNNNNNNNNNNNNNNNNNNNNNNNNNNNNNNNNNNNNNNNNNNNNNNNNNNNNNNNNNNNNNNNNNNNNNNNNNNNNNNNNNNNNNNNNNNNNNNNNNNNNNNNNNNNNNNNNNNNNNNNNNNNNNNNNNNNNNNNNNNNNNNNNNNNNNNNNNNNNNNNNNNNNNNNNNNNNNNNNNNNNNNNNNNNNNNNNNNNNNNNNNNNNNNNNNNNUAGGGUUUCAACACGGUAAUGCAGAGGACCAACGGCGAGGAGCUCCCACUGGGCACAUGCAUGCGAGUGUGGCGUUCAGAGGCUGGGCUCCAGGGAGCCCGUUUUGCCAAAGAAAUGAUCAAAAUAUACUUAAAAGUUUUAAAAAGUAUCAAUUUUUUUAUACAAAUACAGAUGCACGUUCGUCAAGUAUGUAAAAAGCUUCAUCGGGUAAUUCGAUUAUUUGCAUGCUACACAAAAAAGAUAAAUACCCAGCCCUAAAACAACAAAGAUAGAGCCCAUUUUACUUUGUGUAUUUAUCUUUUUUGUAUACAUUACAUGUGAACAUAUAUGUUCAUGAAUUUUUACACGUGUAUGCUACAAAUAUACAUCUAUGUAUAUACUCCCUCCGUUCCUAAAUAUUUGUCUUUUUAGAGAUUUCAAAUAGACUAUCACAUACGGAUGUAUAUAGACAUAUUUUAGAGUGUAGAUUCACUCAUUUUGCUCCGUAUGUGGUCGCUUGUUGAAAUCUCUAGAAAGACAAAUAUUUAGAAACGGAGGGAGUACAUUCUUUCAGAUCUUUUUAAUAUGCGGACAUAGUAUUCUCACUGGAAAACAAACGUACCCUUACUCUCUCAUUUCCUUGUUUACCAACUUAUUUACGAGAUUUUAACUGAAAGCACGUGUUGCUCGUCUCAGCUCGCCCAUGAACUGCUGCAGGCGGCCUUUGGUUUUUGGCCGGACACGUUUGUUUCGGUGACACAAUCUAGUGAGGAGUGAGUGCACCUGGUGCCCACCGACGACCGCUCUGAGCAUCAGCAUGCAUCCAGAUUCAUACAGGUACGCGGCUGCUUUUCACUUUCGGCCGGUAACAGGUGAGCGCUGUGUUCACACACAUUUUUGUAGCUCAUCUACUAGUGCCAUCUAUGGAUACAUGCAUCUGCCAAAGCCGACCACACAAUCAUAAUCCGAUUCUAUUGCGUUGCAUUGACCAUCGCAUCACCUACCUUCAUAGUACAUUAUUAUUAUGCGUUAUGUACUUUUCUGCUGUCGUCUAGUACACGUGGUGAUGUGUGUGAGAUGCUUCGUGUCUUACCAAUCGGUCAAAUCACAUCGGCACUACUUUUGUUCCCAAAAGAUGAUGUAGCGCCAUGUCGACUCUGAGUCUAAUGUCGAUCGUGAACAUGAUUAACAAAAUGCAGAUUCACGUUGGCAAGAAGAUUUUGGUGAUGUAAAUUUUAUUCAGAUGAGGUUUCCAAUGGUAUACCCCCUCCAUUCCUAAAUGCAAGUCCUUUUAGAUAUUUCAAUAUGAACUACAUAUAAAGCAAAAUGAGUGAAUCUACAUAUAAAGCUUUUAGUAAUCUCGUUGAAAUAUCUAAAAACACUUGUAUUUCAAAACAGAGGGAGUAUAUGGCACGGGUGGCCGGUAGCAAGGGCUAACGAGCCAUAGCUGGUGGAGGCAAGUUCGAAACUUGAUGGUUCGGGGGAGGGGGGGCAGGUUCGUCGAAGAAUUUGAAUGGUUCAACGGUUUGCAUGGAUGGCCAAGGGNNNNNNNNNNNNNNNNNNNNNNNNNNNNNNNNNNNNNNNNNNNNNNNNNNNNNNNNNNNNNNNNNNNNNNNNNNNNNNNNNNNNNNNNNNNNNNNNNNNNNNNNNNNNNNNNNNNNNNNNNNNNNNNNNNNNNNNNNNNNNNNNNNNNNNNNNNNNNNNNNNNNNNNNNNNNNNNNNNNNNNNNNNNNNNNNNNNNNNNNNNNNNNNNNNNNNNNNNNNNNNNNNNNNNNNNNNNNNNNNNNNNNNNNNNNNNNNNNNNNNNNNNNNNNNNNNNNNNNNNNNNNNNNNNNNNNNNNNNNNNNNNNNNNNNNNNNNNNNNNNNNNNNNNNNNNNNNNNNNNNNNNNNNNNNNNNNNNNCUGGCCUUGCCGGGUGGAGGCAGGCGGUUCGGCCUGGAUUGGCGGUUGUCAGAGGAAGAGGAAGCCACAAAAUCGUUUUCAAGCGACUGACCCCUAGCCAGUCCCUUUGUUAGUCAAAGGGACAUGCAAUAGAACCCUCAAACCCUGGAUAAAGGAGAAGCAGUUCUGUCAAAUACAAGGAGAAAUGGUAGUCCAUAGACUGAUCGAACUGUAAAGUCAUGGGUGGUUACACCGACUGCCUCGUCAUCUACCUAGAUACAUACUCUAACCGGAGAGCACAUGCAUGCAUCAUCUCUGGCACCAUCUCAACCAGAUAGACCAACCGAUCAACAUACAUCACCGAUUCACAAUUCCCCCCCAACAUGUAA
Molecule: long non-coding RNA, 37227 nt
Filed under: Triticum aestivum (bread wheat)
Lineage: Eukaryota; Viridiplantae; Streptophyta; Magnoliopsida; Poales; Poaceae
Description: long non-coding RNA (TAES_LNC023579)
Source: RNAcentral